CAUUAUUUAUAUAUGGGAUACAAAAGUAUUCCCUGACCCAAACCCUCUCUGUGUACUGAUCCAUGUUGCUUUCCCAAGUGGUUGGUUUCACUAGUUGUUCCAACUUUCCUGCUAGUUGGGUUAACUUUACUAAGUAGGCUCCUGGGAGAGGGUCUAUUUAAAAUGAACUAUUGAAUAAGCAGUCUGAGUUGGCGCAGUGUCAUAUUUUUUUUUGAAUAAAUUAAAACUUUCAACAACGGAUCUCUUGGCUCUUGUAUCGAUGAAGAACGCAGCGAAAUGCGAUAAGUAAUGUGAAUUGCAGAAUUCAGUGAAUCAUCGAAUCUUUGAACGCACAUUGCGCCCCUUGGUAUUCCUUGGGGCAUGCCUGUUCGAGCGUCACUGCAAACCUACUCAUAAAUAUUAUGGUAAUGGUGGAAGUGAAGGGAGGCUACUAAUGUACCUCAGUCACUCUAUCAAAAUGUAUAGUUAGAACAAUUAUUUUUGGCAAAGGACUUAGUAAAUGUUUGAAAAACAUAUAUCAGUUCUUUGCUAGGAUUUGGACUUACUUAAAUGGAUCUCUGUCAGAGACAAACUCUGGGUUGACCUCGGAUCAGGUAGGGAUACCCGCUGAACUUAAGCAUAU
RNAcentral lists this ribosomal RNA (622 nucleotides) under Tuber sp. NW1Tsp. RNAcentral's name for it is "eukaryotic LSU rRNA". The stretch from base 225 to 378 matches the Rfam family "5.8S ribosomal RNA". Lineage: Eukaryota; Fungi; Ascomycota; Pezizomycetes; Pezizales; Tuberaceae. The record is from RNAcentral.